GAUGAACGCUGGCGGCGUGCCUAAUACAUGCAAGUCGAGCGAACGGACGAGAAGCUUGCUUUUCUGAUGUUAGCGGCGGACGGGUGAGUAACACGUGGAUAACCUACCUAUAAGACUGGGAUAACUUCGGGAAACCGGAGCUAAUACCGGAUAAUAUUUUGAACCGUAUGGUUCAAAAGUGAAAGACGGUCUUGCUGUCACUUAUAGAUGGUUCCGCGCUGCAUUAGCUGGUUGGUAAGGUAACGGCUUACCAAGGCAACGAUGCAUAGCCGACGUGAGAGGGGGAUCGGCCACACUGGAACUGAGACGCGGUCCAGACGCCUAAGAGAGGCAGCAGUAGGGAAUCUUCCGCAAUAGGCGAAAGCCUGACGGAGCGACGCCGCGUGAGUGAUGAAGGUCUUCGGAUCGUAAAACUCUGUUAUUAGGGAAGAACAUAUGUGUAAGUAACUGUGCACAUCUUGACGGUACCUAAUCAGAAAGCCACGGCUAACUACGUG
Molecule: ribosomal RNA, 497 nt
Filed under: uncultured bacterium
Lineage: Bacteria
Description: partial 16S ribosomal RNA
Rfam family: Bacterial small subunit ribosomal RNA
Source: RNAcentral